AGUGAACGCUGGCGGUAGGCCUAACACAUGCAAGUCGAACGGCAGCACAGUAAGAGCUUGCUCUUACGGGUGGCGAGUGGCGGACGGGUGAGGAAUACAUCGGAAUCUACUUUUUCGUGGGGGAUAACGUAGGGAAACUUACGCUAAUACCGCAUACGACCUACGGGUGAAAGCAGGGGAUCUUCGUACCUUGCGCGAUUGAAUGAGCCGAUGUCGGAUUAGCUAGUUGGCGGGGUAAAGGCCCACCAAGGCGACGAUCCGUAGCUGGUCUGUGAGGAUGAUCAGCCACACUGGAACUGAGACACGGUCCAGACUCCUACGGGAGGCAGCAGUGGGGAAUAUUGGACAAUGGGCGCAAGCCUGAUCCAGCCAUACCGCGUGGGUGAAGAAGGCCUUCGGGUUGUAAAGCCCUUUUGUUGGGAAAGAAAAGCAGCAGGUUAAUACCCCGCUGUUCUGACGGUACCCAAAGAAUAAGCACCGGCUAACUUCGUG
RNAcentral lists this ribosomal RNA (492 nucleotides) under uncultured bacterium. Its description in RNAcentral is "partial 16S ribosomal RNA". It matches the Rfam family "Bacterial small subunit ribosomal RNA", at positions 29 to 507 of the family's 1533-position model. The record is from RNAcentral.